Long non-coding RNA from Myripristis murdjan (pinecone soldierfish), 365 nucleotides. RefSeq lists it as uncharacterized. The transcript has 4 exons. NCBI's taxonomy places the organism in Eukaryota, Metazoa, Chordata, Actinopteri, Holocentriformes, Holocentridae. The record is from RefSeq and is a predicted model, not a curated record.
CAGGGUGGACCAUGGUGGAGAGCACAGGCUGAAACCCAGGCUGGGGAAGUGUGUCGGUCUGCAGGGCCAGGCUUCAUGGUGUGACCCCCGAGCAGAGCUGGACACAGACUCAUUACUGACUGAGAUUACACCUGAAGUCCAGGAGGAAGGCAACAUAUACCGGCUGCGGUGUCCACACGCCGGAGCAUUUCGCUGCAGUCUCACCGGUUUGGUGUUGGAGGGCGAGGGUGAUGUCACCUACCAGAUAGUUCCCUGGGAAAGGAACAUCCUCACCACAAAAGGCUGGCGGCCGGCAGGACCUCUGGUCAAGUUCACCUGCCUGAGAGGAAGUUUCCACCGGCUCCAACUGCCGCACUGCCAGAUCU